This 253-nucleotide ribosomal RNA is filed under the name uncultured bacterium. RNAcentral's name for it is "partial 16S ribosomal RNA". It matches the Rfam family "Bacterial small subunit ribosomal RNA", at positions 524 to 776 of the family's 1533-position model. The record is from RNAcentral.
UACGAAGGGGGCUAGCGUUGCUCGGAAUGACUGGGCGUAAAGGGCGCGUAGGCGGAUUGUACAGUCAGACGUGAAAUUCCUGGGCUCAACCUGGGGGCUGCGUUUGAUACGUAUAGUCUUGAGUGAGGAAGAGGGUUGUGGAAUUCCCAGUGUAGAGGUGAAAUUCGUAGAUAUUGGGAAGAACACCGGUGGCGAAGGCGGCAACCUGGUCCUUUACUGACGCUGAGGCGCGAAAGCGUGGGGAGCAAACAGG